AAGACUAUACUUUCAGGGAUCAUUUCUAUAGUUUGUUACAUUAGAACAGUAACAUUAAUUUGCAGAAAGGGUUAGCACAUGUCAGUUCA
Small nucleolar RNA from Erinaceus europaeus (western European hedgehog), 89 nucleotides. Its record names the gene U3. It matches the Rfam family "Small nucleolar RNA U3". Rfam says of the family: Small nucleolar RNAs (snoRNAs) are involved in the processing and modification of rRNA in the nucleolus. The record is from Ensembl. NCBI's taxonomy places the organism in Eukaryota, Metazoa, Chordata, Mammalia, Eulipotyphla, Erinaceidae.